CAGUCGCCGCGGUAAUACGUAGGGUGCAAGCGUUAAUCGGAAUUACUGGGCGUAAAGCGUGCGCAGGCGGUUAUAUAAGUCAGAUGUGAAAUCCCCGGGCUCAACCUGGGAACUGCAUUUGAGACUGUAUAGCUAGAGUGUGUCAGAGGGGGGUAGAAUUCCACGUGUAGCAGUGAAAUGCGUAGAUAUGUGGAGGAAUACCGAUGGCGAAGGCAGCCCCCUGGGAUAACACUGACGCUCAUGCACGAAAGCGUGGGGAGCGAACAGGAUUAGAUACCCGAGUAGUCCCUGUCUCUUAUAC
Molecule: ribosomal RNA, 301 nt
Filed under: uncultured bacterium
Lineage: Bacteria
Description: partial 16S ribosomal RNA
Rfam family: Bacterial small subunit ribosomal RNA
Source: RNAcentral